This 216-nucleotide unclassified non-coding RNA is filed under the name Athalia rosae (coleseed sawfly). RNAcentral describes it as "misc RNA ENSAEAG00005002894.1". The record is from RNAcentral. Lineage: Eukaryota; Metazoa; Arthropoda; Insecta; Hymenoptera; Athaliidae.
GGUGGUCGACGGUGUCGCGUACUUACUUGGCGAAGAGAAAGAAGAAGCUAGAGAGGAGUGAAAGAGAGAGAGAUAUACUUUAAGAUUUAUACUUGACAGAGGUCGAAGUUGCCUAGUUUUUAGCGAUACGGUUCAACCAUCCUACGUUGUGCUGAAACCUUCGUAUACAGGUAAGAAAUGAUUGUUAUUGCGCGUAUUCGUUAACUUGUAAUAAGA